RNAcentral lists this small nuclear RNA (19 nucleotides) under Arabidopsis thaliana (thale cress). RNAcentral's name for it is "snRNA_13899". Lineage: Eukaryota; Viridiplantae; Streptophyta; Magnoliopsida; Brassicales; Brassicaceae. The record is from RNAcentral.
CUGGUCGGAUGCGGAACGG